RNAcentral lists this long non-coding RNA (1291 nucleotides) under Sus scrofa (pig). Its description in RNAcentral is "lncRNA (ENSSSCG00070029613.1)". The record is from RNAcentral. Lineage: Eukaryota; Metazoa; Chordata; Mammalia; Artiodactyla; Suidae.
AGCCCUGGCACAGCCAUCACACACCCCCCACCAGCGCAGCCAUCACUCCCGGCUACAGGUCCCUGCUCAUCCACCACCACUGUGCCCCCUUUAAGCAGAUGAGGGCCUGAGGGGGGGACCAGUACCUGGCCCAGGAGCCCACAGCCCAGGAAGCAGCUCCGCAGCGGCUCCUGUGAAGCUGAGCAAACAGCAGGUCCGGGAGCGCUGGGUGGGUGGGAGGCAGCAGUUAGGACCAAGCUGGUGAAUCUGCUCCUUUUACUCGCUCUGGCUGCAGGAGGCCCCCAAGGAGGCCCCCCGGGAGGCCCGAAUCUUCAGUGCUCAGGAAGGCUUUGGGGGCUCUUGGGAAAGGGGGGGCAUGUGGAGAUGGGUUCAAAGCCUGUGCUGAAAAGCCACUGAGAAAGGACGAAAGGCACCUCGAGGCCCCGGAGCCCCUCCUGGGAGGCUGCGGGGUAGGGGGCCAGGGCCUCCAUUAUCAUCCUGGUGCCAGGGGCUCAGCCACAGGAAGGGGACGGCCACCUGCGACCCAGCUUCAGAGUGCCACCCACUCUGGGUGGGUGCUGUGGCUCUCUUGGGAGGCCCCAGGGGAGGCUGAGCUCAGGGCGCAGAGCAGUGGCCUCACUCACCCACGGCGCAAGGCUUGCAGGCCACCGGCAGCCUCUGCUCAGCGCCGGGCACUCCGAGGCGGAGGAGGCAGAGGGAACCACGGAGUUCUGGGGAGCAUCCGGGAGCAGGCAGGAGGGCAACUUGGGGAGGAGGGCGAGGAAAGGGUGGCAGAGGUCCCCGCGGGUGGCAGGGCCAGAGCUCCACACAUGGACUCUCAUUUGCCCUGCCCCGUGCUACUACUCGCCCAUUUCACAGGUGAGGACGUUGAGGCGGAGGCCUGUCCAAGGCCACACAGGGGCUGGUGGCAGAACGGGGUGCCAACCCACGUCUGCCCACUCUGGGGCGGUGCCCCCCACCCCGGCCCACCCUGGAAGGGCCAGCCGGGGCAGAAGGUGCUCCCAGGAAGUGCAGAGCCCCUGCGGACCUGGCUCCACUCUCCGCUUACCCCACCGGGGACCCCACCCGGGAUCCUGAUGAAACGCAUGUUUCUAUGGAAACAGCCCCAACCAUUCUUGAAUCUGCUCCUUAGGUUCCAGGGCCCUGGGGCUGUGCUGGGUCAGGAAGGCCUGCCCAGAGCCGCUGACUCUCACACUAGGGCUGCCCAAUCCACUCCAGGUCCAGGGCCAGGCUGCAGCCCCCUCCUCUGCCAGCCAAGGGUGGGCCUUGAGGAGAGGGGCUCUGGGGACAG